Carassius auratus (goldfish) is the source of this 361-nucleotide long non-coding RNA. RefSeq lists it as uncharacterized. The transcript has 3 exons. The record is from RefSeq and is a predicted model, not a curated record. Lineage: Eukaryota; Metazoa; Chordata; Actinopteri; Cypriniformes; Cyprinidae.
GGCACCAUCUGCUUGCUGUGACAGUAAUGAAGUGAGGGAGAUUGCAGGACAAUGGCUCAGUCUCUGUGAGUGAAGCGGUGGGCGGCUCAGCCCUAUUUCUCCUGCUCUGCUCGGGAUGGGAUGGCUUUACUCUCUAUGUGCUGGAAUCUCUUAAACACAUCCAGCUACAGGGUGAAAAUCGUGAUGCUGCUCAUUUAGGAAAAUGACCACACAAGCCACACGAACUCAUUCAGGGAGUGAAGCACGAUGUGAACUGACUGUCAAAAUCCAGCAAACCGAAUGCUCAGGAUAUCAUUUCUGACAAGAGAGGUGCUGAGUGACACCUGGGGUGUUACUGUAACAACCUGGCCUGAAGCAAAAC